AUGGCGACGGCGACGGCGACGGCGACGUGCCUGCUGGCGGUCUGGGCGCUGGUCGCCGCCGGCCUGUUCGGCACGGGCCUCGCCCGGGCGUCCGUGGCCCCGGCCGCGGUGGGGAAGGAGCAGCGCGAGUUCGACUACUUCGCGCUGGCGCUGCAGUGGCCAGGCACCAUCUGCUCCUCCACCCGCCACUGCUGCGCCGUCAACGGCUGCUGCCGGUCGGAGGCGCUCCACACCUUCACGAUCCACGGGCUGUGGCCGGACUACGAUGACGGGACCUGGCCGUCGUGCUGCCGCCACACCAGCUUCGACAUGGACAAGUUAACGCCUCUGAAGCCCACUCUGGACAAAUACUGGCCGUCCCUCUACUGUUCGACCUCUUCCACCUGCUUCAGUGGCAGGGGCCCCUUCUGGGCUCAUGAGUGGGAGAAGCAUGGAACAUGCUCGGCCCCUGUUGUUCAUGAAGAAUUACAGUACUUCACCACCGCCCUUGAUCUCUACUACAAAUAUAACGUUACAGAAAUGCUGGCGACUGGAGAUAUCCUGGUCUCCAACGGUAAAGAAUAUGCACUGAGUGAUGUCAUUGAUACCAUCAAGCAUGCUUUUGGGGGCUCACCGCAGAUCAUAUGCAAGAAGGGCUCAGUUGAAGAACUAAGGUUAUGCUUCACCAAGGAUUUGAAGCCUCGCGAUUGCCUUACUACUUCGGCAAUGUACAAGAACCUAUCGAAGUCGAAGCAUUGCCCUAAAAAAAUCUCCCUGCCAACAUAUGAUCCCAUCGGUAAGUUUUAA
RNAcentral lists this ribosomal RNA (786 nucleotides) under Triticum aestivum (bread wheat). Its description in RNAcentral is "partial small subunit ribosomal RNA". The record is from RNAcentral. Lineage: Eukaryota; Viridiplantae; Streptophyta; Magnoliopsida; Poales; Poaceae.